RNAcentral lists this ribosomal RNA (253 nucleotides) under uncultured bacterium. Its description in RNAcentral is "partial 16S ribosomal RNA". It matches the Rfam family "Bacterial small subunit ribosomal RNA", at positions 524 to 776 of the family's 1533-position model. The record is from RNAcentral.
GACGUAGGGCGCGAGCGUUGUCCGGAUUUAUUGGGCGUAAAGAGCUCGUAGGCGGCUUGUCGCGUCGUCCGUGAAAACCUGGGGCUCAACCCCAGGCUUGCGGUCGAUACGGGCAGGCUCGAGUUCGGUAGGGGAGACUGGAAUUCCUGGUGUAGCGGUGAAAUGCGCAGAUAUCAGGAGGAACACCGGUGGCGAAGGCGGGUCUCUGGGCAAUAACUGACGCUGAGGAGCGAAAGCGUGGGGAGCGAACAGG